RNAcentral lists this long non-coding RNA (581 nucleotides) under Mytilus galloprovincialis (Mediterranean mussel). Lineage: Eukaryota; Metazoa; Mollusca; Bivalvia; Mytilida; Mytilidae. The record is from RNAcentral.
UAUAUAUACAGUCCGCCAAAAGUUAAGCACCACCGAAAUAUAACUGGCAAUAUUUUUUUAACUAUUGCAAAAAAAAUAUUAAUGUUGGUGUUAUGAAUUACCUUUAACAUACACUAAAAAAAUUCAUUACGACCAAAAAGAUUGCACUCCGAUAAAGCAGUCAACCAACCUUUUAUCAAAGGUCAUAUGUGCGUUUAUAAAUACACUGUUUCUCCAGGUGGUCGUGUAAGUGUUCGUACAUUGGUCCGUCGACUUUAUAGAGGCAAACGAAGAGCACGUCGUGGUGUAUAGAGACCUGUACCUUCAAGCAGGCACUCUACCGUCAGGUUUAAAUGGGAUAAUGAACAUCUAUGCUUGAACAUAAGAACCUGACAAAACACUCAUUGAUCAGAUGGGAGUCAGUUUCCUUUACUGCCAGAAGACGCCAUAAUACGAAUUUCGCAGGGGAAAAAAACGGCCUAUGACCAAAAACAAUAUUUGCACAAGGACUGCAUGCAUUGCUGGUUGUGUUCCAGUACGGGGUUGCUUCUUAUACCGUUAUAAGCUGGGUAUGCAUAUUCUGCAGGGUAACAUAAACGGAC